CUUCAGGACAGUGACUCCCUGGAACAUCUCACUGGGGGAGUGGGGGGAAGGACGCCCCCUGUAGCCAUCACCUUUCAGAGCAGCAGUCUGGGAAAUAUGCACAACAUCAACACUCUGACAUGAUGGGCUGAGACACACAAUGGAAAACCCAACAGAGGCAGGACACAAACAGACAUGAGAGAGUUCCUUUGUGUAGAGAGAUAACUCACAUUGGAGAGGUGCUGCAGCUCCCUGCAGUCAUCGUCAGUGAUCACCCCAUCCAGCAGCACCCGCUGAGAGCCGUUCAGCUGGGCGGACGUCAUGGUCACCUUGAUGUCAUCAUAUGUUGGAGCGCCACCUAGAGGAGAAAGCACGGCAUGAAAUGAGAAGAAGGUGAUGGAUAACAAAUGGUUUAUUCACUCACUGGAUCUACAAAGGUGAUUCCAAAGGCUUCAUA
Long non-coding RNA from Thunnus maccoyii (southern bluefin tuna), 436 nucleotides. RefSeq lists it as uncharacterized. The transcript is spliced from 3 exons. The record is from RefSeq and is a predicted model, not a curated record. Lineage: Eukaryota; Metazoa; Chordata; Actinopteri; Scombriformes; Scombridae.